UUGUUUACCCAAUUUGCAAAAUGUCGGUGUUGUUAUCGAAUUUAAGUAUGUUGCUUUAUAUCUACCCCUGUUCCACUGUAUAAAAUAAAAAAAAUGACGACCCAUUACUAAAACAAAACAUAUGCGUGGGUCCAGUCAUGAUCCUUUUCGGUUUAAAAAAAAACCAACUAAUAUAUGUUUUUGAGUAUGGAUAAAGCCAACAGUAGUAUACUAGUGGUUAGAAAGUUAUAAAUAAAUAGAGAAAAUACAAAUCCGGGUUACAAACCAAAACCAAUGGAAACACAUCAACUAUAAGUGGGAAACAAAGGAACAACAGGAACACCCAAGUGCAACAAAAACACACGCA
RNAcentral lists this long non-coding RNA (346 nucleotides) under Mytilus galloprovincialis (Mediterranean mussel). Lineage: Eukaryota; Metazoa; Mollusca; Bivalvia; Mytilida; Mytilidae. The record is from RNAcentral.